Molecule: long non-coding RNA, 716 nt
Filed under: Elaeis guineensis (African oil palm)
Lineage: Eukaryota; Viridiplantae; Streptophyta; Magnoliopsida; Arecales; Arecaceae
Description: long non-coding RNA (EGUI_LNC021605)
Source: RNAcentral
GCUGGCUUUAUCAUUUGAGGAUCUGAUUCCAAUCUGAUGAUGGUAGGGGGCCACUAUUUAUUUGAGCCAAUAAUUUCUAGAGCAGAUCUUCGUGCAAUUUGAACUGAAGUUGUACGUGCAUGGAAGGUGUUGGGAGCAAACCAUAGUUGUUGAAGAUGACUCAACUAUUGUGUAAUAAUAGUAAAGUAAUACAUGAAUGUUAAAAAUAACAUUUCGUAUUGACAUGUAAGAUUAUAGGAUAAUCUCCUACAAUAUCAUAUAUCAAAUUUUAUUUUUUAUAUUUUUUAAAUAAAAAAUAUAAAUAUAAAUAAUAUGAUAAAAAUAAAAAAUAUUUUAAAUUAUUAUAAUUUUAUUUUAUUUUAAAAAAAUAAAAAAUAGAUAAAAUUACGAUCGUCAAAAACUAAAAUCUUUUGCCCUCUUUCCAUCCCACCGCCAACAUCGCUUCCAAAACUUGUGUUUUCUACCUCCAACAAUCCGCCAUCAUCCCCUUUUGCCCUUGACGAUGAGGCAGAGUUAGUGGCGGUGGUGAACCCCACGUUGUCUCCCCACAUAUGUCCAGCAUCAUUUACGUGCUCUUCCCUCUUUUCUCCACCUCGAGCAUUACUGCGCUCCCUUAGCUAAUGCACACCCACCUGCCCUCCCCAACCCUCAGCCGCUUCCUCGACUCUCACAAUUUAGGAGGUAAGGCUGGGUGGCCUCCAGGGUGAUGCUAGGCC